Molecule: ribosomal RNA, 551 nt
Filed under: Coralliophila abbreviata
Lineage: Eukaryota; Metazoa; Mollusca; Gastropoda; Neogastropoda; Muricidae
Description: partial 12S ribosomal RNA
Rfam family: Eukaryotic small subunit ribosomal RNA
Source: RNAcentral
UGCCAGCAGUCGCGGUUAAACCAAGGGAUCAAGUUAUCUUUGACGGUAAAAAACAGUUAGGUAGAAUUUAAUGUUUGCCAAUCAAUAUAAUAAAGUAAAAUUUGUAUAUUCUAGAAAACCUGAGAAACAUGUUCUGAUCUGUGAAAUCCUUGAGGGAAACUGGGAUUAGAUACCCCACUAUUCAAGGACAUAAAACUAUUACCAGGGUACUACGAACCAUGUUUAAAACUCAAAGGGCUUGGCGGUGCCUUAGACUUUCCAGGGGAACCUGUCUCAUAAUCGAUAAUCCACGUAACACCUGACCCCGUUUAUUGGUUUGUAUACCGUCGUCGGCAGGUAACUUCCAAAAAAAUAAAAGUUAACAGAAAAAUACUAAGUUAAGACGUCAGAUCAAGGUGCAGCUUAUGGCGGGGGGAGGAUGGGUUACAAUUACAAUUCAUAAUCUACCAAAGCUUAUUGAAAAAUUUGUUUAAAGGCGGACUUGGAAGUAAGUUAAAAUAUAUAAACAUUCUGAAUGUGGCUCUGAGGUGUGUACAAACCGCCCGUCGCUC